RNAcentral lists this ribosomal RNA (253 nucleotides) under uncultured bacterium. RNAcentral's name for it is "partial 16S ribosomal RNA". It matches the Rfam family "Bacterial small subunit ribosomal RNA", at positions 524 to 776 of the family's 1533-position model. The record is from RNAcentral.
UACGUAGGGUGCAAGCGUUAAUCGGAAUCACUGGGCGUAAAGCGCGCGCAGGCGGUCAUCUACGUCUGGGGUGAAAGCCCGGAGCUCAACUCCGGGAUUGCCUUGGAUACGGGAUGACUUGAGGAUCGGAGAGGCAAGGGGAAUUCCACGUGUAGCGGUGAAAUGCGUAGAGAUGUGGAGGAACACCUGUGGCGAAGGCGGGUCUCUGGACAGUUCCUGACGCUGAGGCACGAAGGUCAGGGGAGCAAACGGG